CCACAUCUGCCUGCUGGACACCAUGCUUCCCGCCAUGAUGAUAACUGAACCGCUGAAACUAGCAUGUGGGCUCAUGUAUCACUCAGUCUGUUUGGAAGUCCACACUGUGCCUUCCCCAGCCAUGGAGCCCUGGGAAAUACCUUGUUCACACUCCAGAGUCUUGGCCUCUUCAUGUCUACAGUGAGAACGGUGGUACUUACCUGACAAAGUGGGAAGAUGGAACCAUGGCUGUUCAGUGGCUGCCACAGAACAAGGCGCUGAUCUGUGUGGGUGGUGAUUGCUGCUGCUGCUGGACAGACGUUAAUGAAAAGGGUAAGGACAGACAUAAACUCACAUCCAUCGAAUGUGGUUCUUGGACUUCUUUUCCACCAGCUCGAUGCCAUCCAAAACGUUGGUGAUGUCAUACACGCGCCGUUUCCGAACUCCCAGUUUUGUGGCAACCUUGUUUAGAUCGAGAAUGCCCCCAGGGGCAGAUCUGACAAGAUCCAUAAACUUUCGAGUUAAGUACACCAGCGACACAUCAAAACGGGGCCUCUUCACUUUCAAAGCUUCUGCAAAGGAGAGCACAGUGCCACAUGAGCCGACAUUUCUUGGACAGCCGCUUAUUCCCUAAGGAUCGGAGCAGACAGCCAUGGAAACCCCUGCUGGUUUCUAUGGAAACAUUUCUCUAACUGGAUGAAAGGCAAAUGGUCAGCUGGUCUGAGCAAAGGCAUCAGGUUUCAAUAAAGGCUGGUGAGUUUCCACUAAUAACCAUUUUUUACAAGUCCACAUCCCUCCAAGAAAUUUCUGUAACCAUCGCUGAACUACUUCUCAGAAAGAGGAUUAGAAAUGAUUUUGAAAUCAGAUGCCUUCAUUUCACACAUAAUCUGCCAACACACAUCUGGACGUCAAUAUCUAGUUUUUGUUCAUUCUUCUUUGGUGUGUUAAGGAAUGAGCCUGGCUUCACAGAGGCCAGGCAAGCACCUUACCACUGAGCAACAUCCUUCACUCAGAUGUAUAGUUUUUUCUGUUAAUUUUAAAAAAUAUUUACUUAUUAAAAAUAUCUACUAUAUCUUA
Non-coding RNA from Cricetulus griseus (Chinese hamster), 1056 nucleotides. The record is from RefSeq and is a predicted model, not a curated record. NCBI's taxonomy places the organism in Eukaryota, Metazoa, Chordata, Mammalia, Rodentia, Cricetidae.